GGCCCUGGUGCCUCCCAGAGAGAGUGACGCUUUUUGUUGAGUGCCUGAGCUGGUAAGGGUGAUUGUCCGCGGCCGUGAGGUGGUUUGUCAGCAUAGUCCCCGGGACUCCUGGGAGGUCUCAACAGGAGAUCCUCAGCCCAUUUUACAGAUGGGGGCAGCUGAGGACCCGAGGAAAGAAGUUCUAUUACCUCAAAAUGGCUCAGCUCACUAGGAGCAGAGACUGGAUUUAGGUCAUGGGAAAAGUGUUCAAAUGACCAGGAAGAGGCAGGAAUGGGGCCCAAGGAAAUGGAUCAUGACACCCCCGCUAAAGACAAAGUUCAACUCUGCUGCUGUCUGGCUCCAGCACUCCAAUAAGCAAAGAGUCAGGACCUGCUAAGCUGGUUGGAACAGGACUUCAUGGUGUAACUCAUGAGAGACGACUCAAUGCCAAAGACUGAGGUUACAGCAGGGUGUUUACAGCAGUGGCCAUACUCCAGAGUUCUUGACAACAGGUUUUGAG
Acinonyx jubatus (cheetah) is the source of this 499-nucleotide long non-coding RNA. RefSeq lists it as uncharacterized. The transcript has 3 exons. Lineage: Eukaryota; Metazoa; Chordata; Mammalia; Carnivora; Felidae. The record is from RefSeq and is a predicted model, not a curated record.